This is a long non-coding RNA of Clupea harengus (Atlantic herring), 2463 nucleotides long. NCBI's taxonomy places the organism in Eukaryota, Metazoa, Chordata, Actinopteri, Clupeiformes, Clupeidae. The record is from Ensembl.
UUUCGCACUAUCCCGUCAGUACGACGACGCUUACCAACGAAGGAUGCCAUUUAAUGUGACGAAAUAAGUGCUCCUCAAGUAGGCUAGGCCUACAUUAAUCAGCCUACGUUGACAGGAACAAUGGACUCCAAAUCCAACAAGAAGUCUAAGAAGAAAAAAAUUCAAAGUGGAGGGUUCCUUUUAUCAACUCGAACUGAAUCCAAUAAAGUCGCACAUGUGGAAACCAAGAGAAAGAGUGUUAUCCCCUUCAGCAAGACCUACAAGAAAAUCCUUCCUCCAGUCAAGCGUCAUGUGCCAAGGUAUUUGCCACCCAUUGAACACUCAAGAAACCUUUCCAAAAAAGGUGGCAAGAAUAUUCGUUUGGCAUCAGAUGGCCCUGCUACUGUGAAAAAGUUUGUAAAGCAGCCAUCAUAUGAUGAGGCCCACAGUGAAGUGGCCAGGGACUACUUAUCUCCACAGCUUAUUAGAAAGUUCCCAGCCGAGUCAUUCGCCUUUCUGGAGCAACUCUCUCAAAUGCAGAGAAUAAAUCUGAAGAAGAUUCUAAAGAUGAAGGACAUCACCAACCUGGAGCUCCUUCAAAUGUCCAAAAAGAUCAUUGAUUGGGUAAUUAUUGCAUCCAGAGAUGUGGUUCUCCCAGCUGUGGACUUGUACCAGGCCAUCACAAAUGACCUGUACAAAAGGUACACCCAGAAGGACCUCCAUCAUCAGUGGCUAGGCCUAGGGGAUGGCUGUAUGUCCAGUGCAGUGAAUCAUAUGGUAGUGGUCAAUGCCGCUAACAUAUUUAAUGCCCUAGUCUGCAUGACAAGGACCAACAGGAAGGAACCAGAAGACUCAGAUGAGAGCGGCCUCGCCUACUCUGGACAAUCUACACCGUGUGACCCACCACUUGCUAGCCACAGGAAAAGCAAUCUGCUCUUCUGUAGCCGAAUUCGUGUCAACGCUAGAGAGCUGAUCCGUCACAUUUACCAGAUGCUCCUCGAUUCUCGCUUGGGAAGCAUGUACUUAUCCCAAAGCUGGUGGACAAUGAUGCCUCCAGAUUUGGCUGCCAAAAGGAACCUUGAGUUUCUUUCUGACUUGCUUUUCAACUUCAUUGUAUACGCAGUGAAAAAUCUCCUCGAGUCAUUCUUAGGAUUGCCCCACAAGAUACCAUUCAAUAGCUCAAUGGAGCGGAGCCUUGAGAGCAGGCCAGCUGUCUCCAACACCAUGUCAGAGGAGGAGGAGGAGGCACUUGAGGCCCUGUCUGAAGUGUUGAUCAGUAGGGUGGCUGACAUGCUCUCUAGCACCUCUGAAACUCAGCAGAGUGCCAAUAACGCCAUUGGAAAAGAUUUGUCGUCUGAGGACAGUGCAGUCACAACUGAGGCUGUCCAUGAAGAUCCAAUCAUCUAUGACGAUGACCUAGAGGGGUACACUUCCGCACUCCAGAUGGGUGGGACUCCGACAGCCUGCAGGAGCCCUUGCACUUCAGAUGGUCUAGACUCUACAACAACUCUCAGUGCUCAGUCUCUUGAAGCAGACACUGGGCUUUUAAAGCUAUGCAGGAACGAAGAUGGCAGACACUGUCAUCAGCGCGAGUACAUCGGGGUGUCUGAGAACGGAUCACUGGAUGGAUCUUGCUCAGACCAGGGUUCAGCCAGUACAACCUCAGCACAGAGCAGCUCUACGUCAGUGUCUGUACCUCCAGGUGGCCGUGCUUUCACACUGAAGGAGAGCGGUCAGACUCCCUAUGAGCUUUCGAGUCAGACUAGUGACCACUCCUUAAGCACCUUUCAGCAAAAAUCUUUUGAGUCUAUGGAGGAUACUGUGGAUGUACAAGCCAAAACACUGAAAUGUGAAGACAGUGUGUUUAAAAUGGUAAAUGACUUGUAGUGUCCAGUGUCUCGUCCCUUUGUUCGUGUCUAAAUGACAAGACAUUAAAAUAUUCAAGUCAGCAACUGAGAUUCAGAACAUUAAUACAAAAAAAAGUGGGGAAAAUCCAAGUUAGUGAUCAAUCUAGUUUGUGCCCUGGGUAGAAUAGUGGUCUCAGCAACUAUACUCACAAAUGGGAUGAGAAUAAAAAAAAAUAAAAAAAACGUAUUUAGCUGGAAAGUGAGGACAUGGAUAGAAGGGGGUGCAUUUGUUCUAUAUAACCAUUCUCCUACCCACAUCCCUGACUCCACCAAUUUUGUCAUUUAUUCCACAGACUAAAAACAAAAUAUGUCCAGAAGGUAUGUUUUCUAUUUUUUUUAAAGACACAGCAUGAUGCAAUAACUAUAACUAUUAUUCUAAUGAACGGUUCUAGCAGUGUUCUCUGGCACUGACAAUUACUGUCCAAAGUUAAAUGCAACACUAUUAUGUGGCUACGCAGGUGUUGUGGAUACAGUCACUGAUAGACCAUUCUGCCUGUCUUGGGCUCUAUCAACACUCUUCUGCUGCAGGUGUAGAGAGGAAUCACUUGAAGAAAAAGAUCCACAUGAACAAAAUUCA